This 102-nucleotide signal recognition particle RNA is filed under the name uncultured Paramuribaculum sp. RNAcentral's name for it is "Bacteroidales small SRP". It matches the Rfam family "Bacteroidales small SRP". Rfam says of the family: The non-coding component of the signal recognition particle in Bacteroides Lineage: Bacteria; Pseudomonadati; Bacteroidota; Bacteroidia; Bacteroidales; Muribaculaceae. The record is from RNAcentral.
AGUCGGGGAAGUCCUACACGCCCAGCGCCCCGAGAACUCCGCCAGGUCUUGAUCGAAGCAACGGUAUCGGGUCGUAGCGGUGCGAUGUAGAUAGCUUACCCU